AGCGUAGGCGGAUUUUAAGUGGGAUGUGAAAUACCCGGGCUUAACCUGGGUGCUGCAUUCCAAACUGGAAGUCUAGAGUACAGGAGGGGAAAGCGGAAUUCCUAGUGUAGCGGUGAAAUGCGUAGAGAUUAGGAAGAACACCAGUGGCGAAGGCGGCUUUCUGGACUGUAACUGACGCUGAGGCUCGAAAGCGUGGGGAGCGAACA
This 206-nucleotide ribosomal RNA is filed under the name uncultured bacterium. Its description in RNAcentral is "partial 16S ribosomal RNA". It matches the Rfam family "Bacterial small subunit ribosomal RNA", at positions 568 to 774 of the family's 1533-position model. The record is from RNAcentral.